RNAcentral lists this ribosomal RNA (303 nucleotides) under uncultured bacterium. RNAcentral describes it as "bacterial SSU rRNA". It matches the Rfam family "Bacterial small subunit ribosomal RNA", at positions 355 to 675 of the family's 1533-position model. The record is from RNAcentral.
UGGGGAAUAUUGCACAAUGGGGGAAACCCUGAUGCAGCGACGCCGCGUGAAGGACGAAGUAUUUCGGUACGUAAACUUCUAUCAGCAGGGAAGAAAAUGACGGUACCUGACCAAGAAGCCCCGGCUAACUACGUGCCAGCAGCCGCGGUAAUACGUAGGGGGCAAGCGUUAUCCGGAUUUACUGGGUGUAAAGGGAGCGUAGACGGCCAUGCAAGUCUGAUGUGAAAACCCGGGGCUCAACCCCGGGACUGCAUUGGAAACUGUGCGGCUGGAGUGUCGGAGAGGCAAGUGGAAUUCCUAGUG